GACGAACGCUGGCGGCGUGCUUAACACAUGCAAGUCGAACGGAAGGGCCAGGCUUUUGUGGGGUGCUCGUGUGGCGAACGGGUGAGUAACACGUGAGUAAAAUGCCCUUGACAUUGGGAUAAAUUCAGGAAAAUGGGGCUAAUACCGGGUAUGAGCUCCUGAUGCAUGGGGGGGGAUGGAAAGAUUCGGCUGUUGGGGAUGGUCUCGCGGGUUAUGCGCUUGAUGGUGGAGUAGUGGCGUACCACGGCUUUGAAGGGUAGCCGGCCUGAGAGGGUGACCGGCCACAUUGGGCCUGAGGUACGCCCCAGACUCCUACGUGAGGCAGCAGUGGGGAAUAUUGCACAAUGGGCGGACGCCUGAUGCAGCAACGCCGCGUGCGGGAUGCCGUCCUUCGGGUUGUAAACCGCUUUCGCAUGUGACGAAGCGUGAGUGACGGUAAUGGGUAAGAAAGCCCCGGCUAACUACGUG
Molecule: ribosomal RNA, 468 nt
Filed under: uncultured bacterium
Lineage: Bacteria
Description: partial 16S ribosomal RNA
Rfam family: Bacterial small subunit ribosomal RNA
Source: RNAcentral